Molecule: ribosomal RNA, 710 nt
Filed under: uncultured bacterium
Lineage: Bacteria
Description: bacterial SSU rRNA
Rfam family: Bacterial small subunit ribosomal RNA
Source: RNAcentral
UUUGUCGCGUUGUUCGUGAAAUCUCACGGCUUAACUGUGAGCGUGCGGGCGAUACGGGCAGACUUGAGUACUGCAGGGGAGACUGGAAUUCCUGGUGUAGCGGUGGAAUGCGCAGAUAUCAGGAGGAACACCGGUGGCGAAGGCGGGUCUCUGGGCAGUAACUGACGCUGAGGAGCGAAAGCGUGGGGAGCGAACAGGAUUAGAUACCCUGGUAGUCCACGCCGUAAACGGUGGGUACUAGGUGUGGGUUUCCUUCCUUGGGAUCCGUGCCGUAGCUAACGCAUUAAGUACCCCGCCUGGGGAGUACGGCCGCAAGGCUAAAACUCAAAGAAAUUGACGGGGGCCCGCACAAGCGGCGGAGCAUGUGGAUUAAUUCGAUGCAACGCGAAGAACCUUACCUGGGUUUGACAUGCACAGGACGCCGGCAGAGAUGUCGGUUCCCUUGUGGCCUGUGUGCAGGUGGUGCAUGGCUGUCGUCAGCUCAUGUCGUGAGAUGUUGGGUUAAGUCCCGCAACGAGCGCAACCCUUGUCUCAUGUUGUCAGCGGGUAAUGCCGGGGACUCGUGAGAGACUGCCGGGGUCAACUCGGAGGAAGGUGGGGAUGACGUCAAGUCAUCAUGCCCCUUAUGUCCAGGGCUUCACACAUGCUACAAUGGCCGGUACAAAGGGCUGCGAUGCCGCGAGGUUAAGCGAAUCCUUUUAAAGCCGGUC